This 211-nucleotide RNase P RNA is filed under the name Rhodobiaceae bacterium. RNAcentral describes it as "partial RNase P RNA component class A". It matches the Rfam family "Bacterial RNase P class A", at positions 1 to 225 of the family's 367-position model. Rfam says of the family: Ribonuclease P (RNase P) is a ubiquitous endoribonuclease, found in archaea, bacteria and eukarya as well as chloroplasts and mitochondria. Its best characterised activity is the generation of mature 5'-ends of tRNAs by cleaving the 5'-leader elements of precursor-tRNAs. Lineage: Bacteria; Pseudomonadati; Pseudomonadota; Alphaproteobacteria; Hyphomicrobiales; Rhodobiaceae. The record is from RNAcentral.
UCAGACAGUCGGGUGAUCGCGCCCGCGCAAGCGGGGGAGGAAAGUCCGGGCUCCACGGAAGCACGGCGCCGGAUAACGUCCGGCGGAGGCGACUCCAGGGAAAGUGCCACAGAAAGUAAACCGCCCGUAAGGGUAAGGGUGAAAGGGUGCGGUAAGAGCGCACCGCGUCGCUGGUAACAGGCGACGGCACGGUAAACCCCACUCGGAGCAA